CAAAAAAAAUAAACAAAAAAAAAAAUAGAAAAAAGAGAAAAAAAAAGUGAUAAUGUUAGAUACUUAGGUAUGAAUAACAAACUACAUUGCCUUUUAAGGUGUUGCUUCUUGUGAUAGGGGGAAUUUAUUCAUAUUGAGAGGUUUUAUAUUUGAAUUUUGCUACUAGCCCCUUAGUGUGAUGAAAUAUCUGCGUUUUAUUAAUUCUAUUAACGAAAGUAUUGUAAACUUUGACUCCGAAUUAAGUUUAGUAAGGAGCUUCUAUAUGUGUAUGAGUGUGAAAGGCACGAUAUUCUCUAUUAGAUAUGUGGUUAGCUUACCUAUACAUCCUUUUUUUUAUUUAUAAAAAAAAAA
RNAcentral lists this unclassified non-coding RNA (351 nucleotides) under Hevea brasiliensis (rubber tree). The record is from RNAcentral. Lineage: Eukaryota; Viridiplantae; Streptophyta; Magnoliopsida; Malpighiales; Euphorbiaceae.